CCUACGGUGGGCAGCAGUGGGGAAUAUUGGGCAAUGGGCGCAAGCCUGACCCAGCAACGCCGCGUGAAGGAAGAAGGCUCUCGGGGUGUAAACCUCUUUUCUCAGGGACGAAGAAAGUGACGGUACCUGAUGAAUAAGCCACGGCUAACUACGUGCCAGCAGCCGCGGUAAUACGUAGGUGGCAAGCGUUAUCCGGAUUUAUUGGGUUUAAGGGGCGUGUAGGCGGGAGGGUAAGUCAGAUGUGAAAACUUGGGGCUCAACCCUGAGAUUGCAUUUGAUACUGUGUGUCUUGAGUGCUGGGGAGGCAAUCGGAAUUCGGGGUGUAGCGGUGAAAUGCUUAGAUAUACGGAAGAACUCCAGUGGCGAAGGCAGAUUACUGGACAGUAACUGACGCUGAUGCGCGAAAGCGUGGGGAGCAAACAGGAUUAGAUACCCUUGUAGUC
RNAcentral lists this ribosomal RNA (443 nucleotides) under uncultured bacterium. RNAcentral's name for it is "partial 16S ribosomal RNA". It matches the Rfam family "Bacterial small subunit ribosomal RNA", at positions 338 to 795 of the family's 1533-position model. The record is from RNAcentral.